UGCAGUCGAACGUGAUCCGCCCUUCGGGGUGGUGAAAGUGGCGCACGGGUGAGUAACGCGUGGAUAAUCUGCCCGAGGAUUUGGGAUAACAUCUCGAAAGGGGUGCUAAUACCGAAUAAGCCCACGGGGUCUACGGAUCUUGCGGGAAAAGGGGGGGACCUUCGGGCCUCCUGUCCUUGGAUGAGUCUGCGUACCAUUAGCUAGUUGGUGGGGUAAUGGCCUACCAAGGCGACGAUGGUUAGCUGGUCUGAGAGGAUGAUCAGCCACACUGGAACUGAGACACGGUCCAGACUCCUACGGGAGGCAGCAGUGGGGAAUUUUGCGCAAUGGGGGAAACCCUGACGCAGCAACGCCGCGUGGGUGAUGAAGGCCUUCGGGUCGUAAAGCUCUGUCUGGAGGGAAGAAAUGAUUGGGAGCUAAUACCUCUUGAUCUUGACGGUACCUCUGAAGGAAGCACCGGCUAACUCCGUGCCAGCAGCCGCGGUAAUACGGAGGGUGCAAGCGUUGUUCGGAAUUAUUGGGCGUAAAGCGCGUGUAGGCGGUCUUUUAAGUCUGAUGUG
RNAcentral lists this ribosomal RNA (560 nucleotides) under uncultured Geobacter sp. Its description in RNAcentral is "bacterial SSU rRNA". It matches the Rfam family "Bacterial small subunit ribosomal RNA", at positions 56 to 596 of the family's 1533-position model. The record is from RNAcentral. Lineage: Bacteria; Pseudomonadati; Thermodesulfobacteriota; Desulfuromonadia; Geobacterales; Geobacteraceae.